This 408-nucleotide ribosomal RNA is filed under the name uncultured bacterium. RNAcentral's name for it is "partial 16S ribosomal RNA". It matches the Rfam family "Bacterial small subunit ribosomal RNA", at positions 28 to 526 of the family's 1533-position model. The record is from RNAcentral.
GACGACCGCUGGCGGCGUGCCUAAUACAUGCAAGUCGAGCGAAUCGGCGAGUGGGUGAGUAACGCGUGGGUAACCUGCCCUUAAGUCUGGGAUACCAUUUGGAAACAGAUGCUAAUACCGGAUACUACAGGAUGGACCUGCGGUGCAUUGGCUAGUUGGUAAGGUAACGGCUUACCAAGGCGAAGAUGCAGAGCAGAGGUGAGAGACGGAUCGGCCACAUUGUGACUGAGACACGGCCCAAACUCCUACGGUGGGCAGCAGUAGGGAAUCUUCCACAAUGGACGAAAGUCUGAUGGAGAAACGCCGCGUGAGUGAAGAAGGUUUUCGGAUCGGAAAGCUCUGUUGUUGGUGAAGCGGUAAUCAACCAGAAAGUCACGGCUAACUACGUGCCAGCAGCCGCGGUAAUUC